GUCGACGAUGAAGCCCUGCUUGCGGGGUGGAUUAGUGGCGAACGGGUGAGUAACACGUGAGCAACCUGCCCCUGACUCUGGGAUAACAGCCGGAAACGGUUGCUAAUACCGGAUAUGCAUCAUAGCCGCAUGGUUUGUGGUGGGAAAGAUUUUUCGGUUGGGGAUGGGCUCGCGGCCUAUCAGCUUGUUGGUGAGGUAGUGGCUCACCAAGGCGUCGACGGGUAGCCGGCCUGAGAGGGUGACCGGCCACACUGGGACUGAGACACGGCCCAGACUCCUACGGGAGGCAGCAGUGGGGAAUAUUGCACAAUGGGCGGAAGCCUGAUGCAGCAACGCCGCGUGAGGGAUGACGGCCUUCGGGUUGUAAACCUCUUUUAGCAGGGAAGAAGAGUGAGUGACGGUACCUGCAGAAAAAGCGCCGGCUAACUACGUGCCAGCAGCCGCGGUAAUACGUAGGGCGCAAGCGUUAUCCGGAAUUAUUGGGCGUAAAGAGCUCGUAGGCGGUUUGUCGCGUCUGCUGUGAAAUCUGGAGGCUCAACCUCCAGCCUGCAGUGGGUACGGGCAGACUAGAGUGCGGUAGGGGAGAUUGGAAUUCCUGGUGUAGCGGUGGAAUGCGCAGAUAUCAGGAGGAACACCGAUGGCGAAGGCAGAUCUCUGGGCCGUAACUGACGCUGAGGAGCGAAAGGGUGGGGAGCAAACAGGCUUAGAUACCCUGGUAGUCCACCCCGUAAACGUUGGGAACUAGUUGUGGGGGCCUUUCCACGGUCUCCGUGACGCAGCUAACGCAUUAAGUUCCCCGCCUGGGGAGUACGGCCGCAAGGCUAAAACUCAAAGGAAUUGACGGGGACCCGCACAAGCGGCGGAGCAUGCGGAUUAAUUCGAUGCAACGCGAAGAACCUUACCAAGGCUUGACAUAUACGGGAACGCCGCAGAAAUGUGGUUCUCUUUGGACACUCGUAUACAGGUGGUGCAUGGUUGUCGUCAGCUCGUGUCGUGAGAUGUUGGGUUAAGUCCCGCAACGAGCGCAACCCUCGUUCUAUGUUGCCAGCACGUUAUGGUGGGAACUCAUGGGAUACUGCCCGGGGUCAACUCCGGAGGAAGGUGGGGGAUGACGUCAAAUCAUCAU
RNAcentral lists this ribosomal RNA (1126 nucleotides) under Microbacterium sp. MR34. RNAcentral describes it as "bacterial SSU rRNA". It matches the Rfam family "Bacterial small subunit ribosomal RNA", at positions 61 to 1196 of the family's 1533-position model. Lineage: Bacteria; Bacillati; Actinomycetota; Actinomycetes; Micrococcales; Microbacteriaceae. The record is from RNAcentral.